Molecule: ribosomal RNA, 484 nt
Filed under: uncultured bacterium
Lineage: Bacteria
Description: bacterial SSU rRNA
Rfam family: Bacterial small subunit ribosomal RNA
Source: RNAcentral
CAGUGGGGAAUAUUGGACAAUGGGCGAAAGCCUGAUCCAGCAAUGCCGCGUGUGUGAAGAAGGCCUUCGGGUUGUAAAGCACUUUCAGCAGGGAGGAUAAUGACGUUACCUGCAGAAGAAGCACCGGCUAAUUUCGUGCCAGCAGCCGCGGUAAUACGAAGGGUGCAAGCGUUAAUCGGAAUUACUGGGCGUAAAGCGCACGUAGGUGGUUUGUUAAGUCGGAUGUGAAAGCCCCGGGCUCAACCUGGGAAUUGCAUUCGAUACUGGCUCACUAGAGUAUGGUAGAGGGAAGCGGAAUUUCCGGUGUAGCGGUGAAAUGCGUAGAUAUCGGAAGGAACACCAGUGGCGAAGGCGGCUUCCUGGACUAAUACUGACAUUGAGUUGCGAAAGCGUAGUAGCAAACAGGAUUAGAUACCCUGGUAGUCCACGCCGUAAACGAUGAGAAACUAGCUGUUGAAAGGUUCUUACUUCCUGGUGGCGCAGC